UGGGGAAUCUUCCGCAAUGGACGAAAGUCUGACGGAGCAACGCCGCGUGAGUGAAGAAGGUUUUCGGAUCGUAAAACUCUGUCUUUUGGGGCGAACGUGAGUAUGGUGAACAAUCAUAGUCAGUGACGGUACCAAAGGAGGAAGCCACGGCUAACUACGUGCCAGCAGCCGCGGUAAUACGUAGGUGGCAAGCGUUGUCCGGAAUUAUUGGGCGUAAAGAGCGCGUAGGCGGGAUAGUCAGUCUGUUGUAAAGUGCGGGGCUCAACCCCGUGAUCGCAAUGGAACAGCUAUUCUUGAGUGCAGGAGAGGAAAGUGGAAUUCCCAGUGUAGCGGUGAAUGCGUAGAUAUUGGGAGGAACACCAGUGGCGAAGGCGACUUUCUGGACUGUGUCUGACGCUGAGGCGCGAAAGCCAGGGGAGCGAACGGAUUAGAUACCCCGGUNGUCCUGGCCGUAAACGAUGGGUACUAGGUGUGGGAGGUAUCGACCCCUUCCGUGCCGGAGUUAACGCAAUAAGUACCCCG
RNAcentral lists this ribosomal RNA (522 nucleotides) under uncultured bacterium. Its description in RNAcentral is "partial 16S ribosomal RNA". It matches the Rfam family "Bacterial small subunit ribosomal RNA", at positions 355 to 871 of the family's 1533-position model. The record is from RNAcentral.